CUUCGAUAAUGGCAAACUCAGCGAAAGUUGGGGACGCAAAGCCACGGGCCUAAUGAGAAUUUCUUUAUGGUAGCCGGGUUACCGAA
RNAcentral lists this non-coding RNA (86 nucleotides) under Bacillus sp. (in: firmicutes). RNAcentral's name for it is "Bacillus sp. c-di-GMP sequence". It matches the Rfam family "c-di-GMP-I riboswitch aptamer". From Rfam's summary of the family: GEMM was predicted in a large-scale screen for bacterial structured RNA regulatory elements. Genes associated with GEMM are involved in a diverse array of functions, including chemotaxis regulation, signal transduction, secretion and chitin. The record is from RNAcentral. Lineage: Bacteria; Bacillati; Bacillota; Bacilli; Caryophanales; Bacillaceae.